Molecule: long non-coding RNA, 432 nt
Filed under: Zostera marina
Lineage: Eukaryota; Viridiplantae; Streptophyta; Magnoliopsida; Alismatales; Zosteraceae
Description: long non-coding RNA (ZMAR_LNC001844)
Source: RNAcentral
UCCAUUCAUACACAAAUAUCCCUCAAAAUUAUCCAAAACAUUCAACCAAUCAUUCCAAAACAUACCAUUCAAUUCCAUAUCUAUUGUCAUUCCAAAACAUACCAUUCCAUUCCAAAACAUAUCAUUCAAUAACCAAGAAAACAUACCAUUCUAUUCCAAAACAUACCAUUCAAUAACCAACAAAACAUACCAUUCAUACAAUUCAUGUUAUUCAAAACUAAACCAAAAGAUAAAAGAAGAGGAACCUAUUUGUUGGUGUCGGUCACGCUAUUCGUCGCACUUUUAGUCGGACUUUUAGUCGCACUUUUGCCAACAUUUUCGACAUUUGAAUCUCUUGUAAUAGGCGUGAUUAUGUUGUCGUGUCCUUGGCUAGACUGACCUUAAUGUAAAAAAAAAUUGAAAUUACAAAGAAAAUAUGAAUAUUGAUUUACA